CAGUAGCCACGGGAAUACGAAGGGGGCUAGCGUUGUUCGGAAUUACUGGGCGUAAAGGGCGCGUAGGCGGCCAUUCAAGUUAGAUGUGAAAGCCCUGGGCUCAACCUAGGAAUUGCAUUUGAUACUGUUUGGCUUGAGUUCGGGAGAGGUGAGUGGAAUUCCCAGUGUAGAGGUGAAAUUCGUAGAUAUUGGGAAGAACACCGGUGGCGAAGGCGGCCCGCUGGACAUGUAUUGACGCUGAGGUGCGAAAGCGUGGGGAGCAAACAGGAUUAGAUACCCCUGUAGUCCCUGUCUCUUAUAC
This 301-nucleotide ribosomal RNA is filed under the name uncultured bacterium. RNAcentral's name for it is "partial 16S ribosomal RNA". It matches the Rfam family "Bacterial small subunit ribosomal RNA", at positions 509 to 807 of the family's 1533-position model. The record is from RNAcentral.